RNAcentral lists this long non-coding RNA (2253 nucleotides) under Malus domestica (apple). RNAcentral describes it as "long non-coding RNA (MDOM_LNC004698)". The record is from RNAcentral. Lineage: Eukaryota; Viridiplantae; Streptophyta; Magnoliopsida; Rosales; Rosaceae.
UGUUGUGCUUUGGCCUGUUAUCUCACCAACUUAUAAACCCACAGUUGAACAAUUUAAAAUACAAGAAAUAAAGACACCAAGAGAAUUACGAGGUUCGGCAAAAACCUGCCUACGUCAUCGGAGAGAUAUUGCUCUUCACUAUGAGAAUAGCUAGUACAAAAUAUACAUGAGUUAAAUUGACAUAACCCAAACCCCAAUCUCUUGUACACUCACAGAAUUUUUCCAAGAGCCUCACUCUCCCCUAGAGUUUCUCACUCUCACUUUAUUUUCUUUUCCCUCUGUGUUUUCCGGAUGCACCCCUGUCUUUCUUCACACUCGGCAAACAUUUAUAUACAAUGCAAGCAAUUCCUUGCAUUUAAAUAAAGGCCAUCAUUUCAAUCCCCCAGCUUUUACGGAAGGCUUUAUCAUUCCACAUGCUUUGCAUGAAACUAUGCAUCCCCUCCCUUUGCCUUUAAUCGAAUCACAAUGCCACCUUCACGUGAAAAAAAGCAAAUGGGAAAACAUGAAAAGAAAACCUAGCCUAUAAAAUAGACUUUUUUCAUGCAUAGAAAGCAUACAUAUUUACGUGCAAACAAACACAAAGACAACACUUUGCUACAGCCAUUUCCCUGUAGCACAUAAAGCUAAACUAUCAAAAUUGUUGCCAACUCAAACUAUGAGCCAAUCACAACAAUCUCCACCUUGGCGAAUACACCAUGCAAAAAUCCUUGCACCCAUCACCAAAGCUCAUUGGCCUUACGUACCAGCAUACACACCCUGAAUCAACCUCGUUGGUCCUGUUCCGAUUCAGUCACUGCCAAUGCAUGUGCAGCUGCUGCAAGCUAAAAACACCAUUUAGCUUCAGACAGGAUCUCGACACAUCCUCGUCUCCUCCUGUAGGAUUUCCCCCUCUUUAUUGUCUGCAACUUGGAAACUCGUCAGUGCACCCGUUUCCAGCAACAACCCAUCGAGCCAGACAAAAUUCCCCACACUUCUCUUCCUUCAGGACCAUCUCAUCACCUGUGAAUCCCAUAGCUCCACCUGCUGCAAAUCCCUUGCAACACUCAAGACUAAACAUCACCAAGAGAAGUGUUGCUUCGAGUACCUAGAGGGCAUACUCGAAGUCUUCUGCCACAAAAUUGCUACUACUCGGACCAAGAUCAUCCUUUCUUUUUCUCAAAGGACAAUUUUUCUUUUUAUGCCCGAAUUCUUUGCAGUAGUAGCAUUGUAGACCCUUGCCUCCGGAACCGAAUUUGAACCUGUUGUCUCUCUCAGAUCCUCCUCCCAAUUUUCUUCCACGAUUCCAACCUUGAACAGCUAAAGCAGUCUCGUGCCCACCAUCAACAAUGGUCUUCUUCUUUUGUGUAUCAUAAGACACUAAAGAAGCCUGCACCUGCUCCAAACUUACUGUAUCUUUUCCAUGCAGUAAGGUUGUCACAAGAUUUUCAUACGAAUCUGGAAGUGAGGUAAGAAGUAAGAGGGCUUUAUCUUCUUCCUCAACCUUAACAUCAACUUUCCGCAAUUGAUCCAAGUAUCCGUUGAACACAUUCAUAUGGUCCAUGAGAUUCCCGCCUUCAUCCAUCUUUAGCUUGUACAGCUUCCGCUUCAGAUGUAACUUGUUGGUCAAACUCUUAGCAAUAUAGAGUUUUUCCAACUUCUCCCAGAGUGCAGGCGCAAAAUCUUCAUCCAUAACAUUAUUGAUAAUGUUGUCAGCUAUACAGUGUCGAAUUGUGCUAACACAACGCGACUCUAGCUCUUCCCAUUGGUCAUCUGUCAUUUCUUUAGGCUUCCCAUCUUUUCCCUUCAAAACUCUAGCCAAGCCUUGUUGAGUCAAGACAUCCUUUACUCUCAUCUGCCAAAGAGUAAAACUGCCUUUCCCAUUAAACUUCUCAACUGAAAAUGACAUGUUUGUAGUCAUCAUGGUGAAUAACAAAUCUGGACCUUCAAUGAACCAAAGCUUCCAACAAAGCUCUGAUACCAAUUGUUGUGCUUUGGCCUGUUAUCUCACCAACUUAUAAACCCACAGUUGAACAAUUUAAAGUACAAGAAAUAAAGGCACCAAGAGAAUUACGAGGUUCGGCAAAAACCUACCUACGUCCUCGGAGAGAUAUUGCUCUUCACUAUGAGAAUAACUAGUACAAAAUAUACAUGAGUUAAAUUGACAUAACCCAAACCCCAAUCUCUUGUACACUCACAGAAUUUUUCCAAGAGCCUCACUCUCCCCUAGAGUUUCUCACUCUCACUCUAUUUUCUUUUCCCUCUGUGUUUUCCGGA